This 300-nucleotide ribosomal RNA is filed under the name Drosophila orena. RNAcentral's name for it is "partial Dore\u0008b". It matches the Rfam family "Eukaryotic small subunit ribosomal RNA", at positions 1 to 297 of the family's 1831-position model. The record is from RNAcentral. Lineage: Eukaryota; Metazoa; Arthropoda; Insecta; Diptera; Drosophilidae.
AUUCUGGUUGAUCCUGCCAGUAGUUAUAUGCUUGUCUCAAAGAUUAAGCCAUGCAUGUCUAAGUACACACGAAUUAAAAGUGAAACCGCAAAAGGCUCAUUAUAUCAGUUAUGGUUCCUUAGAUCGUUAACAGUUACUUGGAUAACUGUGGUAAUUCUAGAGCUAAUACAUGCAAUUAAAACAUGAACCUUAUGGGACAUGUGCUUUUAUUAGGCUAAAACCAAGCGAUCGCAAGAUCGUUAUAUUGGUUGAACUCUAGAUAACAUGCAGAUCGUAUGGUCUUGUACCGACGACAGAUCU